AAGUGGGGAUGACGUCAAGUCAGCACGGCCCUUAUGUCCAGGGCUACACACGUGUUACAAUGGCCGGUACAGAGGGCAGCUACCUGGGGACAGGAUGCGAAUCUCCAAAGCCGGUCUCAGUUCGGAUCGGAGUCUGCAACUCGACUCCGUGAAGCUGGAUUCGCUAGUAAUCGCGCAUCAGCCAUGGCGCGGUGAAUACGUUCCCGGCCUU
RNAcentral lists this ribosomal RNA (211 nucleotides) under uncultured Sphingobacteriales bacterium. Its description in RNAcentral is "partial 16S ribosomal RNA". It matches the Rfam family "Bacterial small subunit ribosomal RNA", at positions 1171 to 1381 of the family's 1533-position model. Lineage: Bacteria; Pseudomonadati; Bacteroidota; Sphingobacteriia; Sphingobacteriales. The record is from RNAcentral.